RNAcentral lists this long non-coding RNA (337 nucleotides) under Phascolarctos cinereus (koala). RNAcentral's name for it is "lncRNA (ENSPCIG00000006830.2)". The record is from RNAcentral. Lineage: Eukaryota; Metazoa; Chordata; Mammalia; Diprotodontia; Phascolarctidae.
CUUGGGGGCUGGGUUUAGGGCUGGGCGAGCUGCAGUGAGCAGAGAGGAUGAGGGGAAAGGGCCCCCCGGGAGAGGCCACUAGAUCCUUCUCCGCAGCCCAGCCGCAGCCUUGUCUUCCUGUCUCCUGAUGCUCGCCCCAUCCUGCUCUCCAGCUGCUAGCCGAUUGGAAGAGACGGGGGCAAGGUGGAGCCAUCAUCAGUCAACCAGGCUGGGGGCUGGGGCUGUGAUUGUUCCCAUCCUUGAAGAUCUCUUUAGGAACAGGAGAGUCGCUGAGCUGAUGAAGUUGGCCUGCCUGAGGAAAGAAUCUCCUGUUUUGAUUCACUCUUUAUCCAUCUAA